GCACGAGGCAAAUUGCACGGGUGAACAGCCGUCCGGUACGCAGAUAUGCUGUUCGGAAACUUUUGUGUAGACCGAGCGGUGCACAUUCGCAAAGAAGUUACCGGGCUUGCGGUAGUUUUACUGUACCGUAACGUGAGAAUUUUAUCGGCGCUAAAACUGGCAUUGCCUCGAUCUUGAUGCGUUUGAAUUUUUACAAGAAAAAGGAUGAAAUGAUUUUCGUGUAAGAACAUCAUUGGAAAGAAAAACAAACUUAAGACUAUUAAAGCAGAGGUUUUGGGCUUUAAAAUCAAACUAAAUAAUUGCUAGAAAAUAGUAUGAAACAAUUAAGUAAACAACAAUUGAAAGAUGCUUGAAUGAGACAGCAAAUGCAUUGUGCAGACGACAUCAGGAAACAUUGUUAUAACGUUACCUUGCACAUACUGUGAGCCGUGAAUUUCAGACUGUGCUUCUAACUGUUGAAUUCUUUAAUAUUGCAAAUAAAAAUCUAUAAAUCAAUGCACGUUUGAGAACCAUAAAUUUCUGUCUUAAACACUUUAUAACAACGACAGUUUUAGUAAUAAAAAUAGAUUACAAUUAAAAACAAAAUAUAUACAUAAUUGACUAUGAGAUGACAUAUCAAACAAGGUAAAAUUCCGCAAGUUUAUGCAAGAUUGUUAUUUUUGCACGUGAAGGGAAUCAAGAAAGGAAAUUUCAUCUGUGCAGGCACUAUAAAGAGACGAACAAGGCUCUCCUUGAACGCUUUUCUAAAUUCAGUCAUUGCGAAUGCUGGUCUGUUUCUUACGUACCAAUUUCCAAAUGAAACAACCAGACAAUCAUCUAUCUCCUUUGCUUGACGAUACACUUUGCAAUAGUAUGUAACAAAAUAUAACAAUGCUUAACAGAAGUUCGUCAAAGUUCAUAAUACAGAAAAUACAUAUAUGAUUGAAAGUAAUACACACACGCUAUUGAAUAUAGAACAAUUAUAAUUGA
Molecule: long non-coding RNA, 969 nt
Organism: Frieseomelitta varia
Lineage: Eukaryota; Metazoa; Arthropoda; Insecta; Hymenoptera; Apidae
Exons: 4
Source: RefSeq, a predicted model, not a curated record